This is a long non-coding RNA of Amphimedon queenslandica, 419 nucleotides long. RefSeq lists it as uncharacterized. The record is from RefSeq and is a predicted model, not a curated record. NCBI's taxonomy places the organism in Eukaryota, Metazoa, Porifera, Demospongiae, Haplosclerida, Niphatidae. The transcript has 3 exons.
UCUUCUAUAAGGUGAAGGGGCACUGACAACUUAAGUAUUAUAUAUGUAUCAUAGUUUCCGUGAUAUUGAUGAUAAUUCAGCAACAACAGCAAAACUGAUUAUUAUAUUGAAGUAAAUACAUUAUGGGCAUGAAACAUAAGGUAUAGUACAUUAUAUACAUACAACUAUAGGGCAUAAAAUAUAGAAAGGUGGUAUAUAAUGGGAACAUGAAAACUGGAAAGGUCCACUGGUACAAUAAUUGGACAAUAAUGGAAGAAGCUUACUGAGGAUUUGAUAUCAAAUUUGUGCAAGAAAAUAAGGAGAAUAUACGAACCUCAAACAAUCAAACAAUAAAGGAAUGGAUUCUUAAGAGUACAUGAAAAUGUCUAACAUUAAGUGUAAUUUAUAGUAAAUCUAAGCUGUGAGUUGUCGUAUGAAGC